Molecule: ribosomal RNA, 430 nt
Filed under: Acidobacteriota bacterium
Lineage: Bacteria; Pseudomonadati; Acidobacteriota
Description: Acidobacteria bacterium partial 16S ribosomal RNA
Rfam family: Bacterial small subunit ribosomal RNA
Source: RNAcentral
UGGGGAAUUUUGGACAAUGGGGGAAACCCUGAUCCAGCCAUCCCGCGUGUGCGAUGAAGGCCUUCGGGUUGUUAAAGCACUUUUGGCAGGAAAGAAACGUCAUGGGUUAAUACCCCGUGAAACUGACGGUACCUGCAGAAUAAGCACCGGCUAACUACGUGCCAGCAGCCGCGGUAAUACGUAGGGUGCAAGCGUUAAUCGGAAUUACUGGGCGUAAAGCGUGCGCAGGCGGUUCGGAAAGAAAGAUGUGAAAUCCCAGAGCUCAACUUUGGAACUGCAUUUUUAACUACCGGGCUAGAGUGUGUCAGAGGGAGGUGGAAUUCCGCGUGUAGCAGUGAAAUGCGUAGAUAUGCGGAGGAACACCGAUGGCGAAGGCAGCCUCCUGGGAUAACACUGACGCUCAUGCACGAAAGCGUGGGGAGCAAACAGG